RNAcentral lists this ribosomal RNA (497 nucleotides) under uncultured bacterium. Its description in RNAcentral is "partial 16S ribosomal RNA". It matches the Rfam family "Bacterial small subunit ribosomal RNA", at positions 28 to 507 of the family's 1533-position model. The record is from RNAcentral.
GAUGAACGCUGGCGGCGUGCCUAAUACAUGCAAGUCGAGCGAACAGACGAGGAGCUUGCUCCUCUGACGUUAGCGGCGGACGGGUGAGUAACACGUGGAUAACCUACCUAUAAGACUGGGAUAACUUCGGGAAACCGGAGCUAAUACCGGAUAAUAUAUUGAACCGCAUGGUUCAAUAGUGAAAGACGGUUUUGCUGUCACUUAUAGAUGGAUCCGCGCCGCAUUAGCUAGUUGGUAAGGUAACGGCUUACCAAGGCAACGAUGCGUAGCCGACCUGAGAGGGUGAAUCGCCACACCGGAAAUGAGACACGGUCCCGACCUCGAAGGGAGGCAGCAGGAGGGAAUCUUUCGCAAGGGGGGAAAGGCUGAAGGGGCAAAGCCCGGGGAGGGAUGAAGGGUUUUGGAUCCGAAAACUCUGUUUUUUGGGAAGAAAAAAAGUGUUAGUAACCGUGCACAUCUUGACGGGACCUAAUCAAAAAGCCCCGGCUAACUCCGUG